UACGAACCGUACAAACGUUAUUCGGAAUUACUGGGCGUAAAGGGCGCGUAGGCGGCACUGUUAGUCAGGCGUGAAAGUCCUGGGCUCAACCUGGGAACUGCGCUUGAUACGGCAGAGCUAGAGGGUGGAAGAGGCUCGCGGAAUUCCCAGUGUAGAGGUGAAAUUCGUAGAUAUUGGGAAGAACACCGGUGGCGAAGGCGGCGAGCUGGUCCAUUACUGACGCUGAGGCGCGACAGCGUGGGGAGCAAACAGG
RNAcentral lists this ribosomal RNA (253 nucleotides) under uncultured bacterium. Its description in RNAcentral is "partial 16S ribosomal RNA". It matches the Rfam family "Bacterial small subunit ribosomal RNA", at positions 524 to 776 of the family's 1533-position model. The record is from RNAcentral.